RNA transcript from Mizuhopecten yessoensis (Yesso scallop), 3376 nucleotides. RefSeq lists it as uncharacterized. The transcript is spliced from 5 exons. Lineage: Eukaryota; Metazoa; Mollusca; Bivalvia; Pectinida; Pectinidae. The record is from RefSeq and is a predicted model, not a curated record.
AACACUAUACACACGGUAUUACCAAGUAUAUGGAAGUUUCCAGAUUUGCGUGUACACGUACAUCUAUUUGGAUGCUGAAUGAAGCGUUUAUCACUCAACUGUGUAGUCGAUUAUCUGUUAUUGUGAUAUAGGUUAUAUGAUUAGACAAGGGAAAAUGGAUUUCAUUGGAAUCAUAUAUAUACUAACGACGGUCGUCUUGACAAGCGCGCUAAGUGUCGGAACAGCCGAUACUACGACCAGCACAUCCAAGGAUGCGACCAGCACUACCGCCAUAACAACAACAACGCAAGCUAUAUCAGGCGGUAAAGUCCAGCCUCGCUAUGCGGCAUGCUAUGGACAGAAGAUUGAAGCAUCAUGUCUGAAGGGUGAAAACAUUACUGUCUAUGAAAUCCACGUACACGCCAAGCCACUCUCGUCACUCUGUCAACUGGAUAAAGAUCCACAUCGUGCUUCAUGCUGCAAGUAUGACCCGAAUGACUGCAGCAUGGACUAUACCGGUUCGAACAGGGCUUUCAUCUUCAAAAACUGCAACGGUCGUUCAGCAUGCAUGGCGACGCCUGUGUCCUGGAUGGCGUUAAAUAGCAAAUACUGUAAACAAGAGUUGUUCCCCAGGUUUACAACCUACAUAACCAUAGACUACGGCUGCACUCCUCCUGCAGAGCAACAGAGAUUACUGUAAUCCCGUUUACAAGACUAUACAAGCCAUACAAAUAUGCUACAUUAGGGGUUAUUGAAAUCCAACGGUUUUACUUGGACUGGCGAUUUCAUGGCUCCUUUGGUGUACCUUAGGAAUGUGAAAAGGAAAUGAUCAAGUGUUUGCAAACGGUAAAUCUUACUGACCUAUAAAAAUCAAUAUUAAAAAAGAAAAGACUGGAAAAAGUAACAAAGUAGCGAUUUUGGCAUUAUAUAUUUAUUUAAAAACGACAAUAUUACAAUGCUUAUAUCUCCUUACGUGAUAGUGGUAUACAGUGUUUAUGAAUGAAUGGCACAACGUCAGAAGCGAUAUUUCCCGGUAUUAUUAUUAUGACGACAUUCAUUAAUAUGAAGAGCAUCGCGGAAUAUUGUGAUCGGUAGGUUUGUCUCAAUUUGUGUUGAGAAAAAUUACAUAUUUUUGAAUUUGGACAAACAUGUGCAUACAUACCUGCUAACACUAAAACUACGUUUUCAGCAGGGAAAUGAGGGUCAUAGAUGGUUUCAAGUUAAAUGUUACUUAUGAUGUUUUGUUUUAAACAUUUAAACGCCGAGCUUAUCGGUGGAAAUGCAGAAGAUUCGAACAAGAUAUCCGCAUUUAGCAUAGGUCAGUUGCGGUUGACCUGCACAAACGCCGAUGACUUGGCAGGUAUUUAGACUACUUUUUCUAACUUCUGACCUCAUGUUUUUUGUACAUUUAUAAUAUAGAUUGUAAUAAAAACAUAUUUUAACAUUGUUUUCCAAAAACUAUGUAUUUGUGUUGAACGGAGCAUGGUCAUAAGAAAGCGGGGUAUGUAGCGUGCCAAUUAGAAGUAGUUUAAACACAGUAAUUUAUGAAUUCAAUAUAGUUUUUCCUGUUUUCACAUAUUGGGUUGUUUUCACAUAUUGGGUUGUUUUCACAUAUUGGCACGCUACACCUCCGCUACAGGGGUACGUACGAAUACGAGUUUUUGAAAGUAUUGGAACCUAGUUAAUCAAAAAUCAACCUUCUAGGGAAAAGUUAUAUGAACAUAUUUAUUUUUGGACAAUUUAGGCCUGCUAUGUUAGCAGACAGGCGCCAAAUUAAAUUUUGAAGUCUGUACUUUUCAUUCUUGUAGACCAGGUUGUAUCUAGGUCUCCCGAUUGUUACUGGCCACUAGUUUUGUUGUAUAUAGACUAUAGACUAUACAAAUAAACCAUGCAAUACUGGUGAAAUGGAGAUAAGAGAUAAUUUAUAAUGACAACAUGUCCUUUGUAUGACACUUUUCGGAUUAGACACCAAACUUUUUAUAUAUGAACACGGAAUCAAAUUUCAAUAAUAUUAUGUUAUAUACAUGUAAUGCAAUUUAAAGGACUCAAAUGUCUAUUCUAGACAAAUUUUUGUCGCGAAGGAAAAUGUUUGGAUAGGUUUUAAUCGACAACCUUUUUAUAUACUUCAAUUCGCAUACCAACCUGUGGCAGUCUUAUCGACUACGUGUAUAUGUGAUUAACUAUACUAUGGCUUUUUUUUAUAAAAACAAUAUGAGAUAACAUUUAUUGAAUAUGAUUUAUGGUUUAAUAUUUUACAUGUUUUUAGUAAAGUGUCUCAUUUUUUUUUUUUUAUUGUGCAUUUAGUAUUUAUGUUGAGUUUUUACCGAGUUUGCGACACUAUACUAAAAUAACAUUUAUCUUUUCUAUAUAAAGUACCCGGUACAUAUUGUACUUCCUGUUACAAAAUAAAGGAAACCUACGAGCUAAACCAUGAUAUUACCAUUGUCACUUGUGUGAAUUAUUUCUUUUAGGCCUUUUGAAAAUAAGUGUUCCAUAAAAACCACAUGCUGUGGUGCAUUUUUACAUUAUUGUAGUUGUUUAAAAUUGAAUUUGUUAAAAUAUAAAAGGACACAUAUUCAAAGCCCAUGAAAAAUUGACAGAGGCAGUUACUCUCAGCCUGAAAACACCGAUUGCUUCAUAUUGUAUGCUGUAAAUAAAAGUUUAAAAAAACCUCCGAGUGGAGCUUUUCGUGAUCAUAAACGAUGCAGUGGGACCACCGUUUACCUGAAGAAGUACCCACAAGUGCUAGACACACUAAUACUAUGAUGUGUAUAUACUAUAUAAAACUGUUAUAUAGUAUAUACACAUCAGAAUAAUAUUAGUGACUCCAGCACCUGUGGAGGAACCGUUGUACAAGUGCUUGAAGUUAUAUAUGUAUAAUAACUGUUUAAUAUGCUUGCAACAGCAAGCGUAAACAUAUAUAUACAUCUUUACAUAGUAAUAUAAAUGUACACCGACACACACAUACAUAGCAUACAUACGUACGUACACGUGCGUACAUACAUACAUGUAGUUUAUGCAAUAAUGCAAACCAAAAUGGAUACUUCAGUAUGUGUCACUUUUGAUUUCUUUACCGUUUCAUUACUUAACAGCAUUAUUACAAGGGGAGUCAUCAGAACAUAUAUACAUGUGUAAAUCGAGAAUUCACCCAUGCACCCACCCACCCAUACAUACCAUACCAUACCAUAAAUGGUACACAGCAAUACAUGCAUGCACACAUAUACACAUAUACCCAUGCCUAAGAAUGUGCAAGUACAUACAUAAAAAAACCAUAAACAUGUAUAUGCAUAGCUAUAUUUCAUGUGAUUUCUUUUUAAUCUUAUAAGAUUAUAUGCCAAUCAUCAGUUUCAUCUCAUGGCAUUUUGCAUAAAGAAUAUCAUAUAUAUAUAUAUAUAUA